UGAAAGGAUUUUCCUGGGGAGAAAGAUCUGGACCCUAAUUAAUGGGGAUGGACAGUGAGUUGGUCUCCUGCCCUCUGGUCUGCAGCAUGGGACAGCUGGACGGGGCCAUGCGAGGUGUGAUGGGACGCGUGGCAUGGCUCACCCCCAGCCUCCAGAUCCUAGGAGGAGCCUUACCCAUCAUUCGUUCCAUUGUUUCUCUCAGUGUGUGCUACCCAACCUGCUCAGGACACCCAGAUGACACUGGGGAACAGACCUCGUGCCACACCUGGCUGGUUGCCCCUGCGCUGGCGGUGCUUUCUGGUGGUCCCCAGCUCUCAAAGACGUGCAACUCACUCCAGGCAGUGCUGUGCAGGCGGAGGGAGCCAGAAUUCUCCCUCCCCAAAUCCCUGCACCUAUGCACAGCUUGGGCACGGCUGCACCAUCCACAUCCCACACAGCUGCUUCAGGACUUCGGUGUCUCCCUGGCCGGCUCACCCAGCGCAUGAAAAAAAAUAUAUAUGUAGACUGGUUUGCUGUUUGCAAACUGGACCUGCUUUUUUGUGAAUGGAUUCAUUCACCAUCUGCCUGAAAGAGCCAUUUUAGCCAAUGCUCUGCCUGCGAGCGCGUCCUCCCCACCAGCCGUGAUUUGCUCUCCCUCGCUCUGCCUCUCGGAUUGGGCUCCUGGGUGCCACGUGAUGGGCUCCCUUCUCCUUGACGGCACAUCUGACGUUUUUAAGCAGAAUAACAAGCAGCUAACACCGAGGAGCAGCCAUGCCUCCUGGGUGGCAUUGCUGUUAGUGUUUGCUUUCAGUCAUCAGAGGGGAGGGAGGCUCGUGGGCACAUUUGCAGAGGAACUGCUGCCUUUGGGGUGGCUGAGGGUGAAGCCCCAGAGAACCCCUUUGCUGGUGGAGGGGUCUGUGCACAGCUCUGCCUAGGAGCAACUGGGCACGUGGUUGGGUUUGCUGCACGUGGAGACACAGGGAGUGAUGGAGCACGGUGGAGCAGGGAGGAGGAACACGGCCUGCGAUGGGUCUUGAGCAGCAGGAGCAGAGCCCACACCCUUGAACCUGACAGCCCAGGAGAGAUGGUGGGAGAAGAGCCCACCGCUGCCUGCUCCCAUGGGGCACGGAUGUGUCAGUGCUGGCUGCUGCCUGCUGUCGUGGGAAUUGAGAAAAUCCCUGUUUAGCCUCAGCUUGAAAGUUCAAAGGAGGCCAAUUAUUGCCAGCAGACUUGCUUGCCUGCUCUUCUAGGAAUGACAAAUGAUGGGCUUAGGUCAUCACCCAGCCUGAGCCGGGUAUCUCAGGAGCUGGCUUUAGGGGCCUGUGAGCCCCAGCCCUGUGAAUUCAGGCCAGCUUGGCAGAGCCAUAAUGCCAACAGAGGUGGUGUUCCUAGAGUACAGCCAUAGGCAGAGCAAGGUCUGCCCAGAGCUGAGCUAAAGGGGGUGAGUUGGCACAGGUAAGUGGGGUGAGAUAACCUUGGGAAACAGAGACAGAAGAGUUAACCUGCUGUGGUGCCAAAGCCAAAUAGGAUGUGAAAAGCAAAGAGAGAAGUCCUCUGGGCCACUGAUUCAAAUGUCAGAAGACAUCCUGAGCUCUCACUGUCUCUCACCUGGCAAAC
This is a long non-coding RNA of Gallus gallus (chicken), 1596 nucleotides long. The record is from Ensembl. NCBI's taxonomy places the organism in Eukaryota, Metazoa, Chordata, Aves, Galliformes, Phasianidae.